CGAACAGAACAGACAGAGGGGCGUCGCUCUUAGUCAGACGACUUCGCCUCAACGCCAUAGUUCAAUAGUCUAAAUUUCCCGAAAAAUAGAGACACUGCCGAGGGGAAGGGAAGCCGUUUUCAAAUCACAGACGCUAAGUGCUCACUGUGCCCAUUUCGGUAAUCGGUUUCAGAGUCAAAAUCAGGGUGCUGAGGCAUAAUAGAGCUAUCAAAUAAUUGUUAUGUUCUUGGCCGACAUCAGGAUCACCAGUGAAAUGGGAGCCAUGUGGGGAAGUGGGCGAUGGGUGGGCUCUGCUUACAGUCGACUUCCCAGUGACAGCGAAUGAGUAAUCCCCGGCACUCAAUGUCGGCCACAAGAUCCAUUAAUGAAAGCAGAUGAUAAAUUGUCUCAACAAGUUGCUCGGCGCACAAGCACAGCCAGGGGAAUUUUCCAAGCGCGCAACCUGAUUUAUGGAAUAUCUAAAAGCUCAGGGAUUCGAUUUGAGCAAAUAUUAAAAAUGUAUUAUAGAUUUUGAACAAAUAUUUUAUAUCUUUAAUUGAAAAUAAAUUUGUAUUAUCUCGCAGGAAA
Molecule: long non-coding RNA, 567 nt
Organism: Drosophila biarmipes
Lineage: Eukaryota; Metazoa; Arthropoda; Insecta; Diptera; Drosophilidae
Exons: 2
Source: RefSeq, a predicted model, not a curated record